CGGGUUAGUGGCGGACGGGUGAGUAACGCGUGAGAAUCUGCCCUUAGGAGGAGGAUAACAGCUGGAAACGGUUGCUAAUACUCCAUAUGCCGAGAGGUGGAAGGAAUUUCUGCCUAAGGAGGAGCUCGCGUCUGAUUAGCUAGUUGGUAGGGUAAAGGCCUACCAAGGCGACGAUCAGUAGCUGGUUUGAGAGGAUGAUCAGCCACACUGGGACUGAGACACGGCCCAGACUCC
RNAcentral lists this ribosomal RNA (234 nucleotides) under uncultured bacterium. RNAcentral's name for it is "partial 16S ribosomal RNA". It matches the Rfam family "Bacterial small subunit ribosomal RNA", at positions 88 to 339 of the family's 1533-position model. The record is from RNAcentral.